CGAAUCAUCAUUGUAAUGGCAACUUUAGCUGUCAGGGAUCCUGUUGCAUCUCUGCCUCAGCCAGUCUGUGCACAGAUCAUGGAGCACCAGGGCCGUGGAGCAUGUGGGCUAUGGAAUCGGGUUGCCUAUUUUCAUCUUGACUCCAUCACUUGCUGGGCAACCUUGAGGAGCGGACUCAAACCUUUCAAAUAUUUUGAGUGGUUGCAAAAAAGAAACACAAAACAAUUCUAUUUUCUGAGUUUUAAAAAUGUCUGAACCCCCGGAAGACCCAGCCAGACCAAAUCUGCUUUUUCUCCUGGAUCCAUAAUGUACAGUGGUAAAUUAAAGGCUUCGAGAAGCUCUGUA
Molecule: long non-coding RNA, 345 nt
Filed under: Pan troglodytes (chimpanzee)
Lineage: Eukaryota; Metazoa; Chordata; Mammalia; Primates; Hominidae
Description: lincRNA
Source: RNAcentral